This 1305-nucleotide ribosomal RNA is filed under the name Rothia sp. EGY-WPhB4. Its description in RNAcentral is "bacterial SSU rRNA". It matches the Rfam family "Bacterial small subunit ribosomal RNA", at positions 57 to 1363 of the family's 1533-position model. The record is from RNAcentral. Lineage: Bacteria; Bacillati; Actinomycetota; Actinomycetes; Micrococcales; Micrococcaceae.
GCAGUCGAACGAUGAAGACCGGUGCUUGCACUGGUUGGAUUAGUGGCGAACGGGUGAGUAAUACGUGAGUAACCUGCCUUUGACUCUGGGAUAAGCCUUGGAAACGAGGUCUAAUACCGGAUAUGACACAGUUUCGCAUGAAAUCUGUGUGGAAAGGGUUUGUACUGGUUUUAGAUGGGCUCACGGCCUAUCAGCUUGUUGGUGAGGUAAUGGCUCACCAAGGCGACGACGGGUAGCCGGCCUGAGAGGGUGACCGGCCACACUGGGACUGAGACACGGCCCAGACUCCUACGGGAGGCAGCAGUGGGGAAUAUUGCACAAUGGGCGCAAGCCUGAUGCAGCGACGCCGCGUGAGGGAUGACGGCCUUCGGGUUGUAAACCUCUUUCAGCAGGGGAGAAGCGAAAGUGACGGUACCUGCAGAAGAAGCGCCGGCUAACUACGUGCCAGCAGCCGCGGUAAUACGUAGGGCGCGAGCGUUGUCCGGAAUUAUUGGGCGUAAAGAGCUUGUAGGCGGUUUGUCGCGUCUGCUGUGAAAGCCCGGGGCUUAACUCCGGGUUUGCAGUGGGUACGGGCUAACUAGAGUGCAGUAGGGGAGACUGGAAUUCCUGGUGUAGCGGUGGAAUGCGCAGAUAUCAGGAGGAACACCGAUGGCGAAGGCAGGUCUCUGGGCUGUAACUGACGCUGAGAAGCGAAAGCAUGGGGAGCGAACAGGAUUAGAUACCCUGGUAGUCCAUGCCGUAAACGUUGGGCACUAGGUGUGGGGGACAUUCCACGUUUUCCGCGCCGUAGCUAACGCAUUAAGUGCCCCGCCUGGGGAGUACGGCCGCAAGGCUAAAACUCAAAGAAAUUGACGGGGGCCCGCACAAGCGGCGGAGCAUGCGGAUUAAUUCGAUGCAACGCGAAGAACCUUACCAAAGGCUUGACAUAUACUGGACUCCCCUAGAGAUAGGGUUUCCCUUCGGGGCUGGUAUACAGGUGGUGCAUGGUUGUCGUCAGCUCGUGUCGUGAGAUGUUGGGUUAAGUCCCGCAACGAGCGCAACCCUCGUUCUAUGUUGCCAGCACGUGAUGGUGGGGGACUCAUAGGAGACUGCCGGGGUCAACUCGGAGAAAGGUGGGGAUGACGUCAAAUCAUCAUGCCCCUUAUGGUCCUGGCCUCACGCAUGCUACAAUGGCCGGUACAAAGGGUUGCGAUACUGUGAGGUUGAGCUAAUCCCAAAAAGCCGGUCUCAGUUCGGAUUGGGGUCUGCAACUCGACCCCAUGAAGUCGGAGUCGCUAGUAAUCGCAGAUCAGCAUCGCUGCCGAU